Non-coding RNA from Hordeum vulgare subsp. vulgare (domesticated barley), 67 nucleotides. The record is from Rfam. Lineage: Eukaryota; Viridiplantae; Streptophyta; Magnoliopsida; Poales; Poaceae.
NGAUGCGAUCAUACCAGCCCUAAAGCAUCGGAUCCCAUCAAAACUACGAAGUUAAGCGUGCUUGGGC